This 377-nucleotide unclassified non-coding RNA is filed under the name plant metagenome. Its description in RNAcentral is "partial contains 5.8S ribosomal RNA, internal transcribed spacer 2, and large subunit ribosomal RNA". The stretch from base 1 to 104 matches the Rfam family "5.8S ribosomal RNA", at positions 51 to 154 of the family's 154-position model. The record is from RNAcentral.
AAAUGCGAUAAGUAAUGUGAAUUGCAGAAUUCAGUGAAUCAUCGAAUCUUUGAACGCACCUUGCGCUCCUUGGUAUUCCUUGGAGCAUGCCUGUUUGAGUAUCAUUAAAUCUUCAAAGUAAAUCUUUUGUUAACUCAAUUGGUUUCUACUUUGGUAUUGGAGGUCUUUGCAGCUUCACACCUGCUCCUCUUUGUUCAUUAGCUGGAUCUCAGUGUUAUGCUUGGUUCCACUCGGCGUGAUAAGUUAUCUAUCGCUGAGGACACUGUAAAAGGUGGCCAAGGUAAAUGCAGAUGAACCGCUUCUAAUAGUCCAUUGACUUGGACAAUACUUUUAUGAUCUGAUCUCAAAUCAGGUAGGACUACCCGCUGAACUUAAGC